UACGUAGGGUGCAAGCGUUACUCGGAAUUACUGGGCGUAAAGCGUGCGUAGGCGGUUUGUUAAGUCCGCUGUGAAAGCCCUGGGCUCAACCUGGGAAUUGCAGUGGAUACUGGCAAGCUAGAGUGCGGGAGAGGAUGGUGGAAUUCCCGGUGUAGCGGUGAAAUGCGUAGAGAUCGGGAGGAACACCCGUGGCGAAGGCGGCCAUCUGGACCAGCACUGACGCUGAGGCACGAAAGCGUGGGGAGCGAACAGG
RNAcentral lists this ribosomal RNA (253 nucleotides) under uncultured bacterium. Its description in RNAcentral is "partial 16S ribosomal RNA". It matches the Rfam family "Bacterial small subunit ribosomal RNA", at positions 524 to 776 of the family's 1533-position model. The record is from RNAcentral.